GUCUGGCUAGCUCAGUUGGUAGAGCAUGUGACUCUUGAUCUUGGGGUUGUGAGUUCAAGCCCCACGCUGGGUG
RNAcentral lists this transfer RNA (73 nucleotides) under Ailuropoda melanoleuca (giant panda). It matches the Rfam family "tRNA". From Rfam's summary of the family: Transfer RNA (tRNA) molecules are approximately 80 nucleotides in length. Their secondary structure includes four short double-helical elements and three loops (D, anti-codon, and T loops). Lineage: Eukaryota; Metazoa; Chordata; Mammalia; Carnivora; Ursidae. The record is from Rfam by way of RNAcentral.